GCCUAGUUAGCUUAGUUGGUAGUGCGUCUGCCUUACAAGCGCUAGGCCGCGGGUUCGAUUCCCGCCCGGGGCG
RNAcentral lists this transfer RNA (73 nucleotides) under Diaphorina citri (Asian citrus psyllid). It matches the Rfam family "tRNA". Rfam says of the family: Transfer RNA (tRNA) molecules are approximately 80 nucleotides in length. Lineage: Eukaryota; Metazoa; Arthropoda; Insecta; Hemiptera; Psyllidae. The record is from Rfam by way of RNAcentral.